RNAcentral lists this small RNA (107 nucleotides) under human gut metagenome. RNAcentral describes it as "Ribosomal protein L10 leader". It matches the Rfam family "Ribosomal protein L10 leader". From Rfam's summary of the family: This family is a putative r-protein leader autoregulatory structure found in B. subtilis and other low-GC Gram-positive bacteria. It is located in the 5' untranslated regions of mRNAs encoding ribosomal proteins L10 and L12 (rplJ-rplL). The record is from RNAcentral. RNAcentral also lists the same sequence under 2 other names.
AAAUAAGGAAACUAAACCGUAGACAGCGGGGGCUAAGGCUUAAUAAACCCGCCGAGGUACAAUAUAUAAAUAUUGGCCUUGCACACUGCGCAGGGCUUUUUAUAUUC